AGAGAGUUGGCAGACUAGUGCUCUUGAUUUAGGAUCAAGCCAAGGAACAAAUAUUCCACCCUCUA
This 65-nucleotide transfer RNA is filed under the name Sirsoe methanicola. RNAcentral's name for it is "tRNA-Leu". Lineage: Eukaryota; Metazoa; Annelida; Polychaeta; Phyllodocida; Hesionidae. The record is from RNAcentral.